UUCAGUUCCUUGUCCCCUGGUUGUUUCUAAUAGUGGGACCUCUGCUACUGUGGAUCUAUAGCUGCAGUUCUUUGAAAGGUCGCCUGUGAUGGUUAGUAUUGUGUCCUUGACAGGUGGGUCUAGACUCCCCUGGGAGACUAAUUUCUGGGCAUGCCUGUGAGGGAUUGAAGGAUUGGUCGCUGUAAUGUAGGGUACCAUUCCCUGAGUCUCGGCCUGCAGGUAAAGAGGCUAGCAAGCUGAGCACCAGCAUCCUUGCUCUCUGCUUUCUGACUGCAGACACAUUGCAACCAGUUGUCUCAUGUCCCUCACUCCCUCACUGCGAGUACCCUCAGAUCAGGAGCCAGAUUAACCCUUCUGAAAAUGCCUUUUGUCCUGUUAGUUUUACCAAGCAACCGGAAAGUAGCUAAGACUUGACCUGUUACCAUCCCAGAGGCAAGGGAUAUAAGUUUAGUCCCUAGUGGCCGUGUGGUGAAAGGAGAGAGCUGACUUCUGCAAGCUGUCCUCUCGCCUCCAUGAGUGGGGCACACUCUUCAAAUACAUGAGUAAAUACAUGCAAUGCUAAUUUGGUAUGUACUUAUUUUAUGUUAGUGCUUGGGCUGGAGAGAUUGCUCAGUGGUUAAGAACACUGGCUGCUCUUCCAGAGGUCCUGAGUUCAAUUCCCAGCAACCACAUGGUGGCUCAUAACCAGAUCUGAUGCCCUCUUCUGGCCUGCAGGUGUACAUGCAGGCAGAGUGCUAUACACACGGUUUAAGAGAUGUUAAUGCUUAUGUAGAUAGUGGCUCACAUCUGUAGUCUAUAGUGCUAGCCUAGGGAGGCUAGGGCAAGAGGAUCACAAGCUUGAGAGCAGCCUGGACAACAUAAUAAGACCUUAUCUCC
Molecule: long non-coding RNA, 876 nt
Filed under: Mus musculus (house mouse)
Lineage: Eukaryota; Metazoa; Chordata; Mammalia; Rodentia; Muridae
Description: long non-coding RNA chr4:130379909-130380785
Source: RNAcentral